GACGAACGCUGGCGGCGUGCCUAAUACAUGCAAGUCGAGCGCAGGAAACUGACGGAACUCUUCGGAGGGAAGGCAGCGGAAUGAGCGGCGGACGGGUGAGUAACACGUAAGGAACCUGCCUCAAGGAUUGGGAUAACUCCGAGAAAUCGGAGCUAAUACCGGAUAGUUCAUCGGACCGCAUGGUCCGUUGAUGAAAGGCGCUCCGGCGUCACCUUGAGAUGGCCUUGCGGUGCAUUAGCUAGUUGGUGGGGUAACGGCCCACCAAGGCGACGAUGCAUAGGCGACCUGAGAGGGUGAUCGGCCACACUGGGACUGAGACACGGCCCAGACUCCUACGGGAGGCAGCAGUAGGGAAUCUUCCACAAUGGACGAAAGUCUGAUGGAGCAACGCCGCGUGAGUGAUGAAGGUUUUCGGAUCGUAAAACUCUGUUGUAAGGGAAGAACACGUACGAGAGGGAAUGCUCGUACCUUGACGGUACCUUACGAGAAAGCCACGGCUAACUACGUGCCAGCAGCCGCGGUAA
Molecule: ribosomal RNA, 524 nt
Filed under: uncultured bacterium
Lineage: Bacteria
Description: partial 16S ribosomal RNA
Rfam family: Bacterial small subunit ribosomal RNA
Source: RNAcentral